Molecule: ribosomal RNA, 253 nt
Filed under: uncultured bacterium
Lineage: Bacteria
Description: partial 16S ribosomal RNA
Rfam family: Bacterial small subunit ribosomal RNA
Source: RNAcentral
UACAGAGGGGGCAAGCGUUGUUCGGAAUUACUGGGCGUAAAGGGCGCGUAGGCGGCCUGUUAAGUCGAACGUGAAAUCCCCGGGCUCAACCCGGGAACUGCGUCCGAUACUGGCAGGCUUGAAUCCGGGAGAGGGAUGCGGAAUUCCAGGUGUAGCGGUGAAAUGCGUAGAUAUCUGGAGGAAUACCGGUGGCGAAGGCGGCAUCCUGGACCGACAUUGACGCUGAGGAGCGAAAGCUAGGGGAGCAAACGGG